AUAAAUAGUUUGAUUCUAGCUAAAUUAUUAGCUUAAAGAAUCCGUUACAUGCUUUAUGUUAAAUAUAAAAAUUGCAGUAACCAGAAUUUACAAAAAAAUAAAGAUUUUAUAGGAAUACUUAAUAUUAUUGAACACAAUCUGUGCCAGCAUUCGCGGUUAAACAGUUAAUAAAAUCUAAUAUAAUUGGUAAACUAAAUAAGAAAAUUAUAAUGUUUAAGUGAAAUUUAAAUUAUAAUAAAAUAAAUAGAAAAAUAAGUGAAAAUUAGAAAAUAAACUAGGAUUAGAUACCCUAUUAUACUAAAAGUAAAGAAUAAAUACCGAAUAAUAUUAAAUAAAUUCUUUAAAACUCAAAGAAUUUGGCGGUAAUUUAUCUGAUUAGAGGAACCUGUAAAAUAAAUUGAUAAACCACAAUAAACUUGACCUCAUAUACACUUGUAUACCUCUAUACAGGAUGUUUUAAUAGAAAUAUAUUUCCACUUUUUAAUUAAAAUAAGUUUAGGUCAAGGUGCAGUUUUUAUUAGGAAAAUAUGGGUUACAUUAAAAGUAAAAGAUAUUAGAAUAAAAUAGAAAUUAAAAAAUAAAUAAAGGAUUUAAAAGUAAUAAUAAAUAAUUAUUUAAUAUGAAAAAGAAAUAAAUUAUGCACAUAUUGCCCGUCACUCUCAAUAAAAUGAGAUAAGUCGUAACAAAGUAGCCCUACUGGAAAGUAGGGCUAGAAAGUUAG
Molecule: non-coding RNA, 721 nt
Filed under: Ledra auditura
Lineage: Eukaryota; Metazoa; Arthropoda; Insecta; Hemiptera; Cicadellidae
Also listed under: 1 other name
Source: RNAcentral